Molecule: long non-coding RNA, 574 nt
Organism: Lutra lutra (Eurasian river otter)
Lineage: Eukaryota; Metazoa; Chordata; Mammalia; Carnivora; Mustelidae
Exons: 2
Source: RefSeq, a predicted model, not a curated record
GCCAGCUCUAGCCAUCUUGUUCCAUUUAAGGCGGGGAAAAACCUGGGAAGCACCCGUGAAGUUCAGUCCAAAAGUAUAGGCUCACUAAAAGACAGAGACCUCAUCAUCAGCCUCGAGGCUCCUCCUCCCCUACGUACACCUUAUACCAAUCACUAAAGGCCCACUUACUACAGUUCCUUUUAUCCAGCACAUCAUGUUUGGCUUUCAGUAAAAAAUUACAAUGUGUACUCAAAGGCAAAAACACAUUUUGAAGACACAAAACAAGCACCAGAACCAGACUCCGAUCUGGCAGAGAUGUUUGAAUGAUCAGACUAAGUUUUGAAAUAACUAUAAAGGGCACAGAUGAAUGAAAUAGACAACAUGUAAGAACAGAAGGGUCAUCUAAACAGAGAGAUGGAAAUUCUAAGAAAGAAUCAAAAGGAAAUGAUAGAGAUAAAACAAAAAAAAAACCACUAUAGCAGAAAUGAAGAAUACCUUUGAUAAACUCAUUAAUAGACUGGAGGAAGGAAUUGCUGAGCUGGAGGAUAUGUCAAUAGGAACUUCCAGAACUGAAAAGCUAAGAGAAAAAUGACUG